Molecule: long non-coding RNA, 1308 nt
Filed under: Olea europaea subsp. europaea
Lineage: Eukaryota; Viridiplantae; Streptophyta; Magnoliopsida; Lamiales; Oleaceae
Source: RNAcentral
AUCCGAAAUGCCAUGCUUAAAGAACAAAAUUGAUAAUUCUAAAGAGCAAAUCAAUGAGACUACUUCACGGAAUGAGGUGAAGCUAGCAAGGCUAAAUCUCACUCAACAUGAAAAUAUUGAAGAGGGUGAACAAUAAUCUGAUGAAAAUGUUGUUGACACGGAUGAAGGUGAAGUAGGUCCGAGUGAAGUCAAAAUUGAAAUUGAAAAUCCAAAUGUUCCUACUAUUGAAAAAAGUGCUCAAGAUUAUCAAUUGGUGAGAGAUAGGAAAGAAGGCAAAUCAAACCAAAUCCAAGAUAUGAAAUAAAUAAUUUGACCGACUUUGCCUUUAUCUCGGUUGAAUCUUUAGAGUAUUCAGAACCUUCAUCAUAUGAAGAGGCUAUGAAUAGCUCUAACUCUGAAAAAUGGAAAGAUGCAAUGAAAGAAGAAAUGAAAUCUUUACUUGAAAACAACACGUGGAAAUUAGUAAAGAAACCCAAAAAUCAAAGAGUUGUUCAAUGUAAAUGGAUUUUCAAACUAAAAGACGGGAUUGUGUCAUCUGACCCUUUGAGAUAUAAAGUGAGGCUAGUAGCCAAAAGAUUUACUCAAAAGGAGGGUGUUGACUACAAUGAGAUCUUCUCACCGGUUGUCAAAUAUAAGACCAUAAGGUUGAUGCUUGCACUAGUUGUCCAGUUCAAUUGGGAACUCGAACAAUUAGAUGUCAAGGCGGCCUUCUUACACGGUGAAUUAGAUGAGGAGAUCUAUAUGAAUCAACCUCAAGGGUUUGAAUUGAAGGAGAAGGAAGAUUAUGUGUUCUAGUUGCAAAAGUCAUUUUAUGGGCUCAAACAAAGUCUAAGGCAAUGGUACAUUAGGUUUGACACAUAUGUGUUGAAGAUUGGUUUCAAAAGAAGUGAAUAUGAUCAUUGUUUAUACUAUAAUAACACUAAGGCUGGUAGUGAAGUUUAUUUACUUCUAUAUGUUGAUGACAUGCUAUUGGCUAGCUCUAGUAAAUCUGAAAUUUUGAGACUUAAAGGGCUUCUAAAAUCAGAAUUAGAUAUAAAGGACUUGGGAAAUGCCAAGAAAAUUUUAGGAAUGGUAAUCAAUAGAAAUAGACAAAAUAACAUUUUAACUAUAACACAAAGUGCUUAUUUGAACAAAGUUGUAACCAAGUUUAGCAUGAAAGAAGCUAAGAAAGUUAAUGUGCCUCUUGCAGCCCAUAUGAAUUUAUCAUCAUCUCAGUCUCCUAAAACUGAAAGUGAAAUGGAAGAAAUGAAAAAUAUCACAUAUGCUAAUGUCAUAGGAUCAGUCAUGUUUUCUAUGAUUACCACUAGG